This is a long non-coding RNA of Octopus sinensis (East Asian common octopus), 92 nucleotides long. RefSeq lists it as uncharacterized. The record is from RefSeq and is a predicted model, not a curated record. The transcript is spliced from 3 exons. NCBI's taxonomy places the organism in Eukaryota, Metazoa, Mollusca, Cephalopoda, Octopoda, Octopodidae.
UAAUCUCUAGUCCAAUGGCUAAAGUUUAGGUUGUUAGUUGUGUAGCUUCCUCAUGAUAAGUGGCAGAAUGAAUUUUAUCUGUUAUAAUUAUU